UACGUAGGGGGGCAAGCGUUGUCCGGAUUUAUUGGGCGUAAAGGGCGCGUAGGCGGCUUUUCAAGUGACGGGUGAAAGCCCUCGGCUUAACCGAGGAACUGCCUGUCAGACUGGAAGGCUUGAGACCGGGAGAGGUGAGUGGAAUUCCCAGUGUAGCGGUGAAAUGCGUAGAUAUUGGGAGGAACACCAGUGGCGAAGGCGGCUCACUGGACCGGAACUGACACUGAGGCGCGAAAGCGUGGGGGAGCAAACAGG
RNAcentral lists this ribosomal RNA (255 nucleotides) under uncultured bacterium. Its description in RNAcentral is "partial 16S ribosomal RNA". It matches the Rfam family "Bacterial small subunit ribosomal RNA", at positions 524 to 776 of the family's 1533-position model. The record is from RNAcentral.